Molecule: long non-coding RNA, 1516 nt
Organism: Felis catus (domestic cat)
Lineage: Eukaryota; Metazoa; Chordata; Mammalia; Carnivora; Felidae
Exons: 2
Source: RefSeq, a predicted model, not a curated record
CUCCUGCGAGAGAAGGUGGACCAAGCAGAGAGGCUCUGGGGUUCUGGAGGAGCGCCCUCCCCCAGCCUCUUCUUCCUUCAGCGCCCCGAAGGCCGAGGUCCGAACAUACACCCCCCUCCCUCCUCUCCAAGAUCGCAGGAACUCUAGACUUCAGGUCCUGCAACCUUGGAAAGCCCCCUCCUUUCCCAAGGCCCGCCUCCUUAGAAGAAGGCUCCAGCCGGCAUCUCUGCGAGCCGCCUCCCUGGGCGAGGCCCCGCCCCCUCCGGUCCCUGUGUGGGUGUAGACCCCCACGCGCACCUGCAGCUCGUAGAGGAUGAUGCGAUGGCGCAGCCGCACGUGGACAUCCCCACGGAGCCCGAAGUCCCAGGCGCUGAACACGCGGUGGCUGUAGCUGGUCAGGGCCCCGGACUCAGCCAACAACGUCUGUUUCAGUCCUGACACGGAGCUAAGGGAGGGAAGGGCCAGGAGACAGGAUGUGGAAGGUCAGCCCCCUCCUAUGGGACAAACGGAAGACGAACCCUAGGGCCUCGGGCAUCUGGCGAGCUGCUACCUAGCAGAGAAGGAGUCAGAGACCAAGAGAGAUUCAGAGGCAGACUCGGGAACACAGACACCGGAGAGACCGAGAAAGACAGAAACCCAGUAGAGAGGGACAGAGCUCCAGAGAGAAGGGGACAGGAACCAGAGUGAGACAGAAAAAGACCCUGGGGAGAGACAAAUUUAGAGGGGACAAUGAGACCCCAAAGGGGACAGAUUCAGAGGAAGGGGGACAAACAGUGAAACAAGGAAGAGGAAAUCUAGAGAAAGGAGUCAGAGACUCAGAAGGACAGAUGUCCAGAGAAGGGGGUUGGGGGAGAAAGACCCAGAGAAAGGAGGACAGAGACUCGGAGAAGUGGGGCAAAGACCCAGAGGGGGGACAGACAUGCAGAGAAAAGCGGACCAGGGGGCUCCGUCUCCACAUUCACCGGCCUGGCGUGAGCCCCCAGCUCCCCUUCCGUGGACACCUAUGGAAGGACUGACACCUGGCCUCUGCCUCCACCCGUGCCCUUUUGAAUCCAUUCUGUUGUUGUGCCCGUGGAACCCUCUUUUUAUGCAGAUGAGACAUUACUGCCCUUUAAAACCUAUUCCACAGCCUCUCCUUGUUCUGACGUUUAGGCCCCUUCAUCGCACAGCCAGCCAGCGCGCACCUGACCCAGCCCCCACCUACUUGUUGAAGCCCAAAUCCUGUCCCUCCCCCUCCACUCCCCCCCACCCCUGCCUUUCAAGUCUCAGAACACUCCCAACCUCUUCUCACCACAGGGCCUUUGCCCUUGCAGUUUCCAGUGCCCGGAAUGUCCAGGUCUUAGCCGCUCACCUGGCCCGUUCCUCCUCAUCUUUCUGGGCUCUCUGUACGGGUCGUCUCCUCAGAUAGUCCUUAACUGACCGCUCCAUUUAAUGAGGGUCCCCGCCCAUUCUCUAUCACGGGGUGGUGGCGAACUACGGGGCCAGUUUUUGUAAAUAAAGCUUUAUUGGAACACGG